Molecule: ribosomal RNA, 253 nt
Filed under: uncultured bacterium
Lineage: Bacteria
Description: partial 16S ribosomal RNA
Rfam family: Bacterial small subunit ribosomal RNA
Source: RNAcentral
UACGAAGGGUGCUAGCGUUGUUCGGAAUUACUGGGCGUAAAGGGCGCGUAGGCGGUUAUAUAAGUCAGAUGUGAAAGCCCUGGGCUCAACCUAGGAACUGCAUUUGAUACUGUAUGACUAGAGUACGAGAGGGGAAGAUGGAAUUGUGCGUGUAGAGGUGAAAUUCGUAGAUAUGCACAGGAACACCGGUGGCGAAGGCGGUCUUCUGGCUCGUAACUGACGCUAAGGCGCGAAAGCGUGGGGAGCAAACAGG